GUGGGGAAUAUUGGACAAUGGGCGCAAGCCUGAUCCAGCCAUGCCGCGUGAGUGAUGAAGGCCUUAGGGUUGUAAAGCUCUUUCACCGAUGAAGAUAAUGACGGUAGUCGGAGAAGAAGCCCCGGCUAACUUCGUGCCAGCAGCCGCGGUAAUACGAAGGGGGCUAGCGUUGUUCGGAUUUACUGGGCGUAAAGCGCACGUAGGCGGUUUGUUAAGUCAGGGGUGAAAUCCCGGAGCUCAACUCCGGAACUGCCUUUGAUACUGACAAGCUAGAGUCCGGAAGAGGUAAGUGGAACUCCUAGUGUAGAGGUGGAAUUCGUAGAUAUUAGGAAGAACACCAGUGGCGAAGGCGGCUUACUGGUCCGGAACUGACGCUGAGGUGCGAAAGCGUGGGGAGCAAACAGGAUUAGAAACCCGAGUAGUCC
This 425-nucleotide ribosomal RNA is filed under the name uncultured bacterium. RNAcentral describes it as "partial 16S ribosomal RNA". It matches the Rfam family "Bacterial small subunit ribosomal RNA", at positions 354 to 796 of the family's 1533-position model. The record is from RNAcentral.